GCGCCGGUGGUGUAAGGCGAACAUCGCUGCCCGGAAAGCAGAAGAUGCGGGUUCGAGUCCCGCCUGCCGCA
This is a non-coding RNA of Heligmosomoides polygyrus, 71 nucleotides long. NCBI's taxonomy places the organism in Eukaryota, Metazoa, Nematoda, Chromadorea, Rhabditida, Heligmosomidae. The record is from Rfam.